Abrus precatorius (Indian licorice) is the source of this 107-nucleotide small nucleolar RNA. The record is from RefSeq and is a predicted model, not a curated record. Lineage: Eukaryota; Viridiplantae; Streptophyta; Magnoliopsida; Fabales; Fabaceae.
AAAUCAUGGUGCGGGCAUCUUCUCAACAAUUCCUUGAAUCGCUGCCAUGCCUUAAACAGUGAUUCUGUCUCAUAUUGUUGGAAACAACAUAUUUCUGUCAUCAGCUU